GGACGCAUAGCUCAGUUGGUAGAGCAGCUGACUCUUAAUCAGCGGGUCCUAGGUUCGAGCCCUAGUGCGUCCACCA
RNAcentral lists this transfer RNA (76 nucleotides) under Caulobacter sp. RNAcentral's name for it is "tRNA-Lys". It matches the Rfam family "tRNA". Rfam says of the family: Transfer RNA (tRNA) molecules are approximately 80 nucleotides in length. Their secondary structure includes four short double-helical elements and three loops (D, anti-codon, and T loops). Lineage: Bacteria; Pseudomonadati; Pseudomonadota; Alphaproteobacteria; Caulobacterales; Caulobacteraceae. The record is from RNAcentral. RNAcentral also lists the same sequence under 683 other names.